Molecule: transfer RNA, 73 nt
Filed under: Actinomycetes bacterium
Lineage: Bacteria; Bacillati; Actinomycetota; Actinomycetes
Also listed under: 2 other names
Description: Actinobacteria bacterium tRNA-Trp
Rfam family: tRNA
About the family: Transfer RNA (tRNA) molecules are approximately 80 nucleotides in length.
Source: RNAcentral
AGGGGAGUAGCUCAACUGGCAGAGCACCGGUCUCCAAAACCGGCGGUUCCGAGUUCGAGUCUCGGCUCCCCUG